CAGUCGCCGCGGGAAUACGAAGGGGGCUAGCGUUGUUCGGAAUUACUGGGCGUAAAGCGCACGUAGGCGGAUAUUUAAGUCAGGGGUGAAAUCCCAGAGCUCAACUCUGGAACUGCCUUUGAUACUGGGUAUCUUGAGUAUGGAAGAGGUGAGUGGAAUUCCGAGUGUAGAGGUGAAAUUCGUAGAUAUUCGGAAGAACACCAGUGGCGAAGGCGGCUCACUGGACUGGUAUUGACGCUGAGGUGCGAAAGCGUGGGGAGCAAACAGGAUUAGAUACCCCGGUAGUCCCUGUCUCUUAUAC
This 301-nucleotide ribosomal RNA is filed under the name uncultured bacterium. Its description in RNAcentral is "partial 16S ribosomal RNA". It matches the Rfam family "Bacterial small subunit ribosomal RNA", at positions 509 to 807 of the family's 1533-position model. The record is from RNAcentral.